CGUAGGUGGCAAGCGUUGUCCGGAUUUAUUGGGCGUAAAGCGAGUGCAGGCGGUUCAAUAAGUCUGAUGUGAAAGCCUUCGGCUCAACCGGAGAAUUGCAUCAGAAACUGUUGAACUUGAGUGCAGAAGAGGAGAGUGGAACUCCAUGUGUAGCGGUGGAAUGCGUAGAUAUAUGGAAGAACACCAGUGACGAAGGCGGCUCUCUGGUCUGCAACUGACGCUGAGGCUCGAAAGCAUGGGUAGCGAACAGGAUU
This 254-nucleotide ribosomal RNA is filed under the name uncultured bacterium. RNAcentral's name for it is "partial 16S ribosomal RNA". It matches the Rfam family "Bacterial small subunit ribosomal RNA", at positions 526 to 779 of the family's 1533-position model. The record is from RNAcentral.